AAUAUAUGUGGUUUCGAGAGUAUCAUGUGAAUUAUU
Molecule: non-coding RNA, 36 nt
Filed under: Trypanosoma brucei brucei
Lineage: Eukaryota; Euglenozoa; Kinetoplastea; Trypanosomatida; Trypanosomatidae
Source: RNAcentral